RNAcentral lists this ribosomal RNA (438 nucleotides) under uncultured bacterium. Its description in RNAcentral is "bacterial SSU rRNA". It matches the Rfam family "Bacterial small subunit ribosomal RNA", at positions 958 to 1397 of the family's 1533-position model. The record is from RNAcentral.
AACGCGAAGAACCUUACCAAGGCUUGACAUCUGGCCGACGCGCCCGUAACGGGGCGCUUCCCUCGGGACGGCCAAGACAGGUGGUGCAUGGUUGUCGUCAGCUCGUGUCGUGAGAUGUUGGGUUAAGUCCCGCAACGAGCGCAACCCCUAUCCCUAGUAGCCAGCAGCGAGAUGGGGACUCUAGGGAGACUGCCGGGGAGAACCCGGAGGAGGGUGGGGACGACGUCAAAUCAUCAUGCCCCUUAUGGCCAGGGCGACACACGUGCUACAAUGGGGCGGACAGAGGGAAGCGAGGUGGCGACACGGAGCGAACCCCAAAAACCGCCCCCCAGUUCGGACUGCAGUCUGCAACCCGACUGCACGAAGCCGGAAUCGCUAGUAAUCGCAGAUCAGAACGCUGCGGUGAAUACGUUCCCGGGUCUUGUACACACCGCCCGU